Molecule: ribosomal RNA, 496 nt
Filed under: uncultured bacterium
Lineage: Bacteria
Description: partial 16S ribosomal RNA
Rfam family: Bacterial small subunit ribosomal RNA
Source: RNAcentral
AUUGAACGCUGGCGGCAUGCCUAACACAUGCAAGUCGCACGCGAAAGGGGGCAACCCUGAGUAGAGUGGCGGACGGGUGAGUAACGCGUAGGAAUCUACCUGGUAGUGGGGGACAACCCGGUGAAAACCGGGCUAAUACCGCAUACGAUCCACGGAUGAAAGCAGGGGACCGCAAGGCCUUGCGCUAUCAGAUGAGCCUGCGUCGGAUUAGCUAGUUGGUGAGGUAAAGGCCCACCAAGGCGACGAUCCGUAGCUGGUUUGAGAGAACGACCAGCCACACUGGGACUGGGACACGGCCCAGACUCCUACGGGAGGCAGCAGUGGGGAAUAUUGGACAAUGGGGGCAACCCUGAUCCAGCAAUGCCGCGUGUGUGAAGAAGGCCUUCGGGUUGUAAAGCACUUUCGGUGGGGACAAACAAGGUGGAGCUAACAUCUCCGCCUCUGAUGGUACCCAAAGAAGAAGCACCGGCUAACUCUGUGCCAGCCGCCGCAGUAA